GCCAGGCUCACAGAGAGCAGGCUGGCAUGGCAGCCUGCUUGGGGAGGCUUGGGGAGCAGUGAGACGAGGCCAGCUGCAGAUGCAUUUCCUCCCCAUGCCAGGAAAGGUUUUAAUUCAAAAACAAAUGUAUUUAUCACUUCCAACCACUCCGCAGGGCAGGGCAUCCUGCCUCGGGUGGAGCGUCAGUGUGCAGUGGGAACAGUGGCAGGCGGCCAACGGAAACUUCACGUUUCACGAAGGUUUCUGCCACUUCGCAGUUGUUAUAAAGGCCAGCAUCACAUCAGUGGAGACAGUCCAGCCUCCCAGCCAGCCCUAAAGACACAGGCACCAGGAAAGGACCAGGCUCUCCAAGCCCCGGCCAGGCAACUUUGGCCCCAGUGGGCUGGAUGGUGGGAUGCAAUGAACCAUCCAACUUGGUGACUAAGGCUCUUUCUAACCAUGGAGUGUGGACAAAGGGAAAGUCUGUCAUCAGCAGACAAAGGACUGUGCGUGUCGGAGCAGACAAAGAAUUAAUAAAAGGGUCACUGAACCUGCUCUGAAUCUCAGAUGCAUCCUUCGUGAAGUGAAAAAAGAUUCCCCUGAGCUGCUAAGAGCAAGGAAACACAAUCCGGGCUGAGCUGGAAACUCUAGAUCUGCUACAACCUGGUUAAUUGCUACUGGGCAGAGAGGCAAAGAAUAGAUAAAAAUUUGCAGCUGUAAAAAAAAAAAAAGAAAUCUGAAAGGGAUAGAGCAGCUUAGUAAAAAGAAAGCUGGAAUCUGAAGCCACCUCCAUUCAUUCAUGGAACACCUAUGAGGCGCCUAUUCCCAUAGUGUCACAAGCACUGACUGUCGUAGGUCCAGGGAGACACAGGUCCCUCAAAGAGCUUACUCCUAGAGUAGCAGGUUUAUAUUUGUAAUUAUAAACAAAUAACUACAGUAAAAUGUGGCAAGUGGCAAGAAAGAGAAAGGCACAAA
This 954-nucleotide long non-coding RNA is filed under the name Homo sapiens (human). Its description in RNAcentral is "HSALNT0043128". The record is from RNAcentral. Lineage: Eukaryota; Metazoa; Chordata; Mammalia; Primates; Hominidae.